RNAcentral lists this ribosomal RNA (491 nucleotides) under Veillonella parvula. Its description in RNAcentral is "bacterial SSU rRNA". It matches the Rfam family "Bacterial small subunit ribosomal RNA", at positions 28 to 486 of the family's 1533-position model. The record is from RNAcentral. Lineage: Bacteria; Bacillati; Bacillota; Negativicutes; Veillonellales; Veillonellaceae.
GACGAACGCUGGCGGCGUGCUUAACACAUGCAAGUCGAACGAAGAGCGAUGGAAGCUUGCUUCUAUCAAUCUUAGUGGCGAACGGGUGAGUAACGCGUAAUCAACCUGCCCUUCAGAGGGGGACAACAGUUGGAAACGACUGCUAACACCGCAUACGAUCUAAUCUCGGCAUCGAGGAUAGAUGAAAGGUGGCCUCUACAUGUAAGCUAUCACUGAAGGAGGGGAUUGCGUCUGAUUAGCAAGUUGGAGGGGUAACGGCCCACCAAGGCGAUGAUCAGUAGCCGGUCUGAGAGGAUGAACGGCCACAUUGGGACUGAGACACGGCCCAGACUCCUACGGGAGGCAGCAGUGGGGAAUCUUCCGCAAUGGACGAAAGUCUGACGGAGCAACGCCGCGUGAGUGAUGACGGCCUUCGGGUUGUAAAGCUCUGUUAAUCGGGACGAAAGGCCUUCUUGCGAAUAGUGAGAAAGGAAUUGACGGACCCGGAAUAA